UUGAGAGUUUGAUCCUGGCUCAGGACGAACGUUGGCGGCGUGUUUAAGGCAUGCAAGUCGAGGGAUCGGCCGUAGCAAUACGGUACGGACCGGCAGACGGGAGAGGAACACAUUGGCAACCUACCUUCGAGACGGGGAUAGCCCCGGGAAACCGGGAUUAAUACCCGAUGGUCAUGGGGGGACAUAAGUCAUUCCCAUGUAAAUCAUUUCUGGCUCGAAGAGGGGCCUAUGCCCUAUCAGCUAGUUGGUGAGGUAAUAGCUCACCAAGGCUACGACGGGUAGGGGACGUGAGAGCGUGACCCCCCUCACUGGGACUGAGAAACUGCCCAGACACCUACGGGUGGCUGCAGUCAAGAAUCUUCCGCAAUGGACGAAAGUCUGACGGAGCGACGCCGCGUGCAGGAUGAAGCCCCUCGGGGUGUAAACUGCUUUUAUAGGGGACGAAUUUGUGACGGUACCCUAUGAAUAAGAGGUUGCUAACUCUGUAAGCCCAAACCGGGCCUGGUGCAGAGUGAUUGUGGUAACACAGUCAAAGAAAAUCUCGCUAUAUGCUGGAAACUUCUGUUAAUGGCACACUACCUAAAAACGGUGACAAUGUGUGUCAAACCCAAAAAAACGUACUACCGCACGUAUAGGGGUUGCAGAACAAUCAGCAGGAAACCGCAAACUACAACCGGUUUGCGGGCUCCUCAGAGACUACACGCGAGACUCCCGAGUUAGUCGGGAUGAUGAUAUAGUCCAACGAGCUCUUCAUAUGAAGGCAGAAGUGAAAGAAAUAGUAACCGCCUCGCUUUUAGGUGAUGGUUGGUUGACGGAAUUGAAGCCGAGAACAGGAACCGCUAUGUACUAUGUGAAAUAUCAUGGUCGUAGCCGGGAUUAUCUGCAAUGGCUUCACGGACAAGUUCGCGAACUUGGUCCUUCUGAACUGAAGGAAGUCGCGCGCUAUGGUCAAUAUUAUUUCUACACGAAAGCCCGAACAGACAUCGGCGAACUAAGAAAACUUUUUUACCCAAACGAGGGAAGAAAAGUGAUUCCGCGAAAUAUCCGCGAACUGCUAUCUACGCCCAAAGCCUUGGCCAUUUGGUACCAAGACGAUGGAACAUUAGAUAAACGGUCGCGUGAUCAUUGGAAUGCAAUGUUCGCUACGUAUUGUUUUGGUUAUGAAGAGUGCGAGCUGCUUGCGAAAACACUGAAAGAUAACUUCGACCUGGCUGUAUCGGUUUGCCGAUGCCAGAUGCGGGGUAAAAUGUAUUAUCGGCUUUAUGUGCGAUCCCAAAGUAUGAAUAACUUCAUACGACUCGUACAGCCGCAUAUACACCCAUCAUUCAGUUACAAAAUUUCGCUUAACAAUGGCCAGCAGCAGCGGUAAUACAGAGACCUCAAACGUUGUCCGGAUUCAUUGGGCGUAAAGCGUCCGCAGGUGGCAUGGAAAGUCAGGGGUCAAAGCUUCCGACUUAAUCGGAAAUCUGCUUCUGAUACUUCCAAGCUAGAGGUUGUGAGAGGCACACGGAACUGCCGGUGUAGUAGUAAAAUGCGUUGAUAUCGGCAGGAACACCAAAGGCGAAGGCAGUGUGCUGGAACAAUCCUGACACUCAGGGACGAAAGCGUGGGGAGCGAAUGGGAUUAGAUACCCCAGUAGUCCACGCCCUAAACUAUGUGUACUAGGUAUAUGGAGUAUCGACCCUCCAUGUGCCGUUUAAAAAAGCUAACGCGUUAAGUACACCGCCUGGGGAGUACGGCCGCAAGGUUAAAACUCAAAGGAAUAGACGGGGACCCGCACAAGCGGAGGAUCAUGCGGUUUAAUUCGAUGGUACGCGACGAACCUUACCGGGGCUCAACUACUAGCUGCAAGCCGCAAGAAACUGUGGCCGCCUUCGAGGGUGCUAGAUAGGUGCUGCAUGGUUGCCGUCAGCUCGUGCCGUGAGGUGUACCCUUAAGUGGGGUAACGAGCGCAACCCUCGUUGUGUGUUACAUUGGACACACGAGACUGCUCGCGCAAGCGAGAGGAAGGUGGGGACGACGUCAAAUCAGCAUGGCUCUUACGUCCCGGGCGACACGCAUGAUACAAUGGCCAGUACAAAGGGUUGCCAAGCCGCGAGGUGGAGCUAAUCCCAUAAAGCUGGUCUCAGUUCGGAUUGCAGGCUGCAACUCGCCUGCAUGAAGCUGGAUUCGCUAGUAAACGCGCAUCAGCCACGGCGCGUUGAAUACGUUCUCGGGUCUUGUACUCACCGCCCGUCACACCACGAAAGUUGGCAAUGCCCGAAGGCUCUCGUUCGAGGGACGAAGGCAGGGUCAAUGAUCAGGGUGAAGUCGUAACAAGGCAUCCGUAGCGGAAGCUGUGGAUGGAUCACCUCCUU
This 2357-nucleotide ribosomal RNA is filed under the name Candidatus Magasanikbacteria bacterium GW2011_GWA2_56_11. RNAcentral's name for it is "bacterial SSU rRNA". The stretch from base 1158 to 2357 matches the Rfam family "Bacterial small subunit ribosomal RNA". Lineage: Bacteria; Candidatus Magasanikiibacteriota. The record is from RNAcentral.